UGGUUUAAUUCGAUGCAACGCGAAGAACCUUACCUGGGCUUGACAUCCCAACGAAUCCCCUCGGAAACAGGGAGUGCCUUCGGGAGCUUGGAGACAGGUGCUGCAUGGCUGUCGUCAGCUCGUGUCGUGAGAUGUUGGGUUAAGUCCCGCAACGAGCGCAACCCUUGCCUUUAGUUGCCAUCAUUCAGUUGGGCACUCUAGAGGGACUGCCGGUGUCAAACCGGAGGAAGGUGGGAUGACGUCAAGUCCUCAUGGCCUUUAUGCCCAGGGCUACACACGUGCUACAAUGGGCGGUACAAAGAGCAGCGAGCUCGCGAGAGUAAGCAAAUCUCAAAAAGCCGUCCUCAGUUCGGAUUGGAGUCUGCAACUCGACUCCAUGAAGUUGGAAUCGCUAGUAAUCGUGGAUCAGCAUGCCACGGUGAAUACGUUCCCGGGCCUU
Molecule: ribosomal RNA, 439 nt
Filed under: uncultured Syntrophaceae bacterium
Lineage: Bacteria; Pseudomonadati; Thermodesulfobacteriota; Syntrophia; Syntrophales; Syntrophaceae
Description: bacterial SSU rRNA
Rfam family: Bacterial small subunit ribosomal RNA
Source: RNAcentral